This 27-nucleotide non-coding RNA is filed under the name Mus musculus (house mouse). Lineage: Eukaryota; Metazoa; Chordata; Mammalia; Rodentia; Muridae. The record is from RNAcentral.
UGAAUGAGAUGACUCUGUGGUCGGCCA